Molecule: ribosomal RNA, 516 nt
Filed under: Exiguobacterium sp. chideg06
Lineage: Bacteria; Bacillati; Bacillota; Bacilli; Caryophanales
Description: bacterial SSU rRNA
Rfam family: Bacterial small subunit ribosomal RNA
Source: RNAcentral
UUCGGGGGGACGACGGUGGAAUGAGCGGCGGACGGGUGAGUAACACGUAAAGAACCUGCCCAUAGGUCUGGGAUAACCACGAGAAAUCGGGGCUAAUACCGGAUGUGUCAUCGGACCGCAUGGUCCGCUGAUGAAAGGCGCUCCGGCGUCACCCAUGGAUGGCUUUGCGGUGCAUUAGCUAGUUGGUGGGGUAACGGCCCACCAAGGCGACGAUGCAUACCCGACCUGAGAGGGUGAUCGGCCACACUGGGACUGAAACACGGCCCACACUCCUACGGGAGGCAGCAGUAGGGAAUCUUCCACAAUGGACGAAAGUCUGAUGGAGCAACGCCGCGUGAACGAUGAAGGCUUUCGGGUCGUAAAGUUCUGUUGUAAGGGAAGAACAAGUGCCGCAGGCAAUGGCGGCACCUUGACGGUACCUUGCGAGAAAGCCACGGCUAACUACGUGCCAACAGCCGCGGUAAUACGUAGGUGGCAAGCGUUGUCCGGAAUUAUUGGGCGUAAAGCGCGCGCAAG